CACUAGUGGCGCACGGGUGCGUAACGCGUAACCAACCUACCCGAAUCUGGGGGAUAGCCCGCCGAAAGGCGGAUUAAUACCGCAUAAGACGGUGACCCGGCAUCGGGAUGUUGUUAAAGAUUUAUUGGAUUCGGAUGGGGUUGCGUGACAUUAGCUAGUUGGCGGGGUAACGGCCCACCAAGGCGACGAUGUCUAGGGGAGCUGAGAGGCUGGUCCCCCACACGGGCACUGAGAUACGGGCCCG
RNAcentral lists this ribosomal RNA (244 nucleotides) under uncultured bacterium. RNAcentral describes it as "partial 16S ribosomal RNA". It matches the Rfam family "Bacterial small subunit ribosomal RNA", at positions 90 to 334 of the family's 1533-position model. The record is from RNAcentral.